UCAAAGGCUCUUUUCAGAGCCACUAUGUCCUCAAGCAAACGAACU
RNAcentral lists this non-coding RNA (45 nucleotides) under Pelobates cultripes (western spadefoot toad). It matches the Rfam family "Histone 3' UTR stem-loop". From Rfam's summary of the family: The mRNAs of metazoan histone genes lack a poly-A tail. 3' end processing occurs at a site between a highly conserved stem-loop (modelled by this family) and a purine rich region around 20 nts downstream (the histone downstream element, or HDE). The stem-loop is bound by a 31 kDa stem-loop binding protein (SLBP - also termed the histone hairpin binding protein, or HBP). Lineage: Eukaryota; Metazoa; Chordata; Amphibia; Anura; Pelobatidae. The record is from RNAcentral.